RNAcentral lists this long non-coding RNA (1669 nucleotides) under Homo sapiens (human). Its description in RNAcentral is "non-protein coding lnc-AATK-9:1". Lineage: Eukaryota; Metazoa; Chordata; Mammalia; Primates; Hominidae. The record is from RNAcentral.
GCGGAACGCGAAGGCCGAGCGCCGCCUCCGGCCGCGCGCCGUUGCCGCGGGUUCGAAACCACAGCCCGCCGGUCUCGGCGACCGCCGCGAACACCGCGGCCUCCUUGGACCGGUACGGAGAAGUGGCACGGAUACCUGGAUGUUAGGGCCCGCGAUGUUCGGGCCCGGGAUGUUCUAAAUGACGUGUUUCCGUGCACCCUUCCUGUGCAGAUGGAGUCCUGCUCUGUCGCCCAGGGUGGAGUGCAGGGGCGCUAUCUCGGCUCACUACAAACUCUGCCUCCCGGGUUCAAGUGAUUUUCCUGCUUCAGCCUCCUGAGUAGCUGGGACUACAGGUGCCUGCUGCCACACCCGGCUAAUGUUUGUUAGUAGAGACGGGGUUUCACCAUAUUGGCCAGGCUGGCCUUGAGCUCCUGACCUUCUGAUCCACCCACCUCGGGCUCCCAAAGUGCUGGGAUGACAGGCGUGAGCCGCCGCACCCGGCCCGCUUUGCACUUUAAAAUGUUCCCUGAAAUGCGACCAGCAGCGCCCUCCACCCAGCCUUUCAGCCCUGGGAUCUUCCCUCUUCCACUGCGCUGCUCCCUGUCUGUAGAUCAGUGCCAGGAGGAGACCAGCAUGGCUGGGCUCAGCUUCUCCUUCCAAGGAAUCGUGGCUGCGUCCCCCACAGAAGCAUUCUUCCCUGGGGGGCUAAGAAACACAUGAAUGGGGAUAAAGGGUAAAAGGGAGAAGCCACCCCGGUUCCCGCCUGAGUAUCCUGACUGUGGUUCCUGAGCAUUCACUAAGUGUCAAAGAAAAGCACUCAGCUGAGGAUGGCUUGAGGCCAGGAGUUCAAGACCAGCCUGGCAACAUAGCAAGACCCCCGUCUCUACAAAAAAUAUAACAAAUAACAUCAAAAGGAGAAUAAUUAUCACCUGUUCCAAACCUCUGGACUCCAGAACCUUCACUGAGGUGAGGGGGCCCCUGAAUUUUUGUGGGGUUCAUCUCCCACCCUCUGAUUUGUCUCACCAAGACAUCUGAAGUACUUUUUUCCUUGGUGUCCAUGGGGACGUUGAGGAAAAAAAAAAAAAAGACUUGCUACUCCCUGCUCCUCAUGAAGGGGGAAGGAAGAGCUGGGUAGAGGAAGGCGUGAUCCUUGGCUAGGGAUCCCCCCACCGCCUGUGCCCACAAACCUAGGUGAGGACAGGGAUUUUUGUUUUCCUGCCCAAAUGUUGCAUUUCCAAAGACCACCCUGGCCUGCCACGCCCCCAUCCUGUCCCUAUAAAAUCCCCGAGACUCUAGCAGACUCCAUCUGGCCAGGUGUGGUGGCUCACGCCUGUAAUACCAGCACUUUGGGAGGCUGAGGUGGGUGGAUCACCUGAGGUCAGGAGUUCGACAUCAGCCUGGCCUCACAUAGUGGACCGUGUCUCUACAAAACUACAAAAGUUAGUGGGGCAUGGUGGCAUGCACCUGUAAUCGCAGCUACUUGGGAGGCUGAGGCAGGAGAAUCGCUUGAACUUGGGAGGUGGAGGUUGCAGUGAGCUGAGAUCACACCACUGUACUCCAGCCUGGGCGACAGUGUGAUACUCUGUCUCCAAAAAAAGAAAAAGAAAAAGAAAAGGAAUUGGAAUCCAUUUGAUGCCAGUGUCUUGUCAUUCCUGAGACGCUUGAGUAUUUCCCUCCCUCUGUUACACAG